GCACCUGGAACGCAGGACAGGGCACCCGUCACGAGGGUAGUCAGGGCGGCAGUGAGACCACUCUGAGCCCAGCCCAGUGAGAGCUGCUGACACCAGGACCCCGCGGAAAGCCUGGGAAGGUAAAGCACACAGCAGGCCUGACCAGCAGGACUCGGGAGGGCUGUGUCCUCCCCUCAGCCCUGCCGCACUGGCAGCUGCUGGGAGGGCAAGCGUUGGCACUGGCCCAGCUCAUGCUCCCUUCGCUCAAUGUGUUUCAGGUCCCUGAGGGCCCAGGCAGACCUACCCCCUACCCUCUUGGGUAAAGGUGUUCAGUGGAGGGUCUCCAGAGAUUUCCUACCGGCCUGCCUUCUGGCUCCCGAGGUCCACGAAGAGAAAGGCCACCAGCUGCUCUGGGCCGAGGCUGGCCCUGGACAGACUGGUUUGGAGGAAGGGCUGCUUCCCUGGACAGACUGGUUUGGAGGAAAGGCUGCCCUUUUUUCCUGACAGGAAGCAUGGGAGGACCAAACCAGGAGUCCAGCCUGCUCGAUGGGUGUUCAUUUGGGGGAAAACCAGCAGGAACAAAGGAGACACAGCAGUCUACUUGGGUACCAAGGCGGCGCUCCAGACCUCUUGUGCCCAGACCCAGCAAGAAGGCUGCACUUGGCCUGCUCACCUGACACUCCUCCCUUUCUGAAGCAGCGUCCAGACUCCAUUAGGGCCCCGGUAAUCUGGAAUAGAGGCUGCCUGCAUGUUCAGAAAAAAGGCUGAGCUGCCUGACCCCAGAUGGAGCAUCCCCCAGCAGGGCUCCUUCAUUCUGCCUGGACUCCCCUUCCCACCCGGCCCAACUCAGCCCUCCAGGCUCAGCAGCGCCCUGCCCUCGCUCCGGGAGCCUCUCUAGCACUGAGCAGACCUGGGCUCCGUGACUACGUGUGUCCCCCACACUGUGGGGAGCUGGUCAGGUACGUGCAUGGCCCCAGGACCUGGCCCAGUGCUCAGAUGUUUAGCAAAGGGCGAAUCUCCAGGUUGGGGCACUGCUUUGCCCAAAUUCUUACAUCCCAAUGCUGAGUAAUUCCUGCUCAAUCUUUUUGCAUUUUUAAGGGAGCCCCCGGGGUCUGUUCCAUCCAAACACUGUUGAAGCAAGAGACAGAUCCACGGGACCGCCAAACGCACUGCCUCCCACUCAAUCUUAACAAAGGUAAGACAACUGCUCCAGAUGAGAUAAACAUCUAAUUUGCCAAGUUUCCCAUCCAGUGAAACAAAAUGAUGCCGAGAGGAAAAAAACAGAAGGUAUGCCAGAAUCAGAGACUUGUGUUCCCUUCUGGGGAAGUCGUGUCCCUUCACUGCUGCUUAAACUCAGAAAAAUGCCCACCCUGAUCACUGGUUCUGUCGCAUUCAAGAGGGGAACCUCAAAUAGUAACAUUCAGAUCAAACUGAUUAGGGGCAUGUGGCUGUCAGCUGCCCCUGGAAGCUCUGUAAGAAGUGACAUUGCUGCUGUUACAUAACUGCGUGACUGGAUGUGCACAUGUGGCCGUGGAGGGAAGACACCCAAAGGCUAGAGCUCCAGGUUAUCUAUGAAUUGGAGCAGUGAACUCACCUCACACAUUGUCGCUCUUGUGCCUCUGCUGUUACCUUUGUUUGGAGUGCCUGGCCCCCCACCUUCAGCUGUACACGUCAUCAUUCCUUCAAGGCCACCUCCCGCAAAUCCCCCCAGCCUCCCAUGGGUUUCCUAGCUCUGAGACAACAGUGUGCAUCUGGAUUUCUGUUUCCGAGACCCCAGCAUAGUCAGCCUUACGUCAUGGGUAUUUGCUCACAUGCCUGAUUAUCGUCACCUAAGGGCUUCCUGAGUAUGCAGAUCACUUGGUGUUCAGCUCUGCUGGGCCUACACAUGCCUAAGACUCCACACUUGCCCAUCGGAUUAGAUGGACAAUGUGCCAGUCCCACUCUCAAAGACACUGAUGUCCCACAGCCCAGGAUACCUUCCCAGUGAAAGGUCUCAAAAUAAUGCAGGGAGGCUGAGCCAGGAAGAUCGAUCACGUGAGCCCAGG
Molecule: long non-coding RNA, 2024 nt
Organism: Propithecus coquereli (Coquerel's sifaka)
Lineage: Eukaryota; Metazoa; Chordata; Mammalia; Primates; Indriidae
Exons: 3
Source: RefSeq, a predicted model, not a curated record